RNAcentral lists this transfer RNA (71 nucleotides) under Pseudomonadota bacterium. Its description in RNAcentral is "tRNA-Gln". It matches the Rfam family "tRNA". From Rfam's summary of the family: Transfer RNA (tRNA) molecules are approximately 80 nucleotides in length. Their secondary structure includes four short double-helical elements and three loops (D, anti-codon, and T loops). The record is from RNAcentral. RNAcentral also lists the same sequence under 1 other name. Lineage: Bacteria; Pseudomonadati; Pseudomonadota.
UGCGGGGUCGUCUAAUGGUAGGACAGGGGCCUUUGGAGCCUCUAAUCUUGGUUCGAAUCCAAGCCCCGCAG